CCUACGGGAGGCAGCAGUGGGGAAUUUUGGACAAUGGGCGCAAGCCUGAUCCAGCAAUGCCGCGUGAGUGAAGAAGGCCUUCGGGUUGUAAAGCUCUUUUGUCAGGGAAGAAACGGCAGUUUCUAAUACAGAUUGCUAAUGACGGUACCUGAAGAAUAAGCACCGGCUAACUACGUGCCAGCAGCCGCGGUAAUACGUAGGGUGCAAGCGUUAAUCGGAAUUACUGGGCGUAAAGCGUGCGCAGGCGGUUUUGUAAGUUUGUCGUGAAAUCCCCGGGCUCAACCUGGGAAUGGCGAUGAAGACUGCAAGGCUAGAAUCUGGCAGAGGGGGGUAGAAUUCCACGUGUAGCAGUGAAAUGCGUAGAGAUGUGGAGGAACACCGAUGGCGAAGGCAGCCCCCUGGGUCAAGAUUGACGCUCAUGCACGAAAGCGUGGGGAGCAAACAGGAUUAGAUACCCUGGUAGUCCACGCCCUAAACGAUGUCUACUAGUUGUCGGGUUUUAAUUAACUUGGUAACGCAGCUAACGCGUGAAGUAGACCGCCUGGGGAGUACGGUCGCAAGAUUAAAACUCAAAAGUAAUUGACGG
This 586-nucleotide ribosomal RNA is filed under the name uncultured bacterium. RNAcentral describes it as "bacterial SSU rRNA". It matches the Rfam family "Bacterial small subunit ribosomal RNA", at positions 338 to 916 of the family's 1533-position model. The record is from RNAcentral.